This 252-nucleotide ribosomal RNA is filed under the name uncultured bacterium. Its description in RNAcentral is "partial 16S ribosomal RNA". It matches the Rfam family "Bacterial small subunit ribosomal RNA", at positions 524 to 776 of the family's 1533-position model. The record is from RNAcentral.
UACGUAGGUGGCAAGCGUUGUCCGGAUUUAUUGGGUUUAAAGGGUGCGUAGGUGGUCUAUUAAGUCAGUGCUGAAAUAUCCCGGCUUAACCGGGAGGGUGGCAUUGAUACUGAUGGACUUGAGUAAAGUUGAGGUAGGCGGAAUUGACGGUGUAGCGGUGAAAUGCUUAGAUAUCGUCAAGAACACCUAUAGCGAAGGCAGCUUACUAGCUUUAACUGACGCUGAGGCACGAAAGUGUGGGGAUCAAACAGG